AAAUCGCAGGAGCUCUCAUCUCUCAUCGGAGUAUUCCAGAGAGUAAGGAAUUUCUCACCGGUGAAAAUGCUGUCCACGAUAAGCACGACAUGUAAGCGGAUGAUGAGCUCAGACCAGUUCACUGGAGUCGAUCCCAAAGAAAUGAGUCGAUCACAGCGCAACUUCGCAAAGAGACUGCAGACGGAGAAUGCUAAACGAGCCGAGGGAGUAACCCGGAUGAGAUCGAGCAACACGAAGUUAGGAUGGGGACUUGGAUUCGCCGUCUUGCUCAUCUUCGCCUACUCGAUGAACCGAGUGAAGACUGAGAAUUUUCUCGACGAGGAUUUCGAAUAAGAUUUAUUCUACUCGCUCGAUCGCUCUGAUAGUUAUGAAUUCCUGUGGAAAAUACUGUACCCUCUAAAUAUAAGUCGUUGACCUU
Galendromus occidentalis (western predatory mite) is the source of this 418-nucleotide long non-coding RNA. RefSeq lists it as uncharacterized. Lineage: Eukaryota; Metazoa; Arthropoda; Arachnida; Mesostigmata; Phytoseiidae. The record is from RefSeq and is a predicted model, not a curated record. The transcript has 2 exons.